ACGGGUGUAGCUCAAUUGGUAGAGCAGCGGUCUCCAAAACCGCAGGUUGGGUGUUCGAGCCACUCCACCCGUG
This 73-nucleotide transfer RNA is filed under the name Bacteroidota bacterium. RNAcentral describes it as "tRNA-Trp". It matches the Rfam family "tRNA". Rfam says of the family: Transfer RNA (tRNA) molecules are approximately 80 nucleotides in length. Their secondary structure includes four short double-helical elements and three loops (D, anti-codon, and T loops). Further hydrogen bonds mediate the characteristic L-shaped molecular structure. tRNAs have two regions of fundamental functional importance: the anti-codon, which is responsible for specific mRNA codon recognition, and the 3' end, to which the tRNAs corresponding amino acid is attached (by aminoacyl-tRNA synthetases). tRNAs cope with the degeneracy of the genetic code in two manners: having more than one tRNA (with a specific anti-codon) for a particular amino acid; and 'wobble' base-pairing, i.e. permitting non-standard base-pairing at the 3rd anti-codon position. RNAcentral also lists the same sequence under 2 other names. Lineage: Bacteria; Pseudomonadati; Bacteroidota. The record is from RNAcentral.